CCUACGGGAGGCAGCAGUGAGGAAUAUUGGUCAAUGGGCGGAAGCCUGAACCAGCCAAGUCGCGUGAGGGAUUAAGGCCCUGCGGGUCGUAAACCUCUUUUGCCGGGGAGCAGAGUUCCGGACGUGUCCGGGCCGGGAGAGUACCCGGAGAAAAAGCAUCGGCUAACUUCGUGCCAGCAGCCGCGGUAAUAAGGAGGACGCGAACGUAACCCGGAUUUAUUGGGUUUAAGGGGGGCGUAGGCGGGCUGUUAAGUCAGCGGUAAAAUGUCGGGGCUCAACCCCGUCCUGCGGUUGAAACUGGCGGCCUCGAGUGGGCGAGAAGUAUGCGGAAUGCGUGGUGUAGCGGUGAAAUGCAUAGAUAUCACGCAGAACUCCGAUUGCGAAGGCAGCAUACCGGCGCCCUACUGACGCUGAGGCACGAAGGCGUGGGUAUCGAACAGGAUUAGAUACCCUUGUAGUC
RNAcentral lists this ribosomal RNA (460 nucleotides) under uncultured bacterium. Its description in RNAcentral is "partial 16S ribosomal RNA". It matches the Rfam family "Bacterial small subunit ribosomal RNA", at positions 338 to 795 of the family's 1533-position model. The record is from RNAcentral.